AUGGAUUUUAUCACGGGAUUGCCCAGGACUCGUUCAGGCUAUGACUCAAUAUGGGUUGUAGUCGAUCGUUUGACGAAAGUACCUCAUUUCAUCCCAGUGAACACCACUUACACCAGUGCUAAGUUGGCAAAGAUAUACAUGACCAGAAUCGUAUGUUUGCAUGGAGUUCCGAGGACCAUUGUAUCAGAUAGAGGAACCCAGUUUACCUCGAAGUUUUGGAAUCAGUUACAUGAAACCUUGGGAACCAGGCUAGAAUUCAGUACAGCCUUUCACCCACAGACAGAUGGACAGACCGAGAGAGUCAAUCAGAUUUUGGAAGAUAUG
This 324-nucleotide ribosomal RNA is filed under the name Triticum aestivum (bread wheat). RNAcentral's name for it is "partial small subunit ribosomal RNA". Lineage: Eukaryota; Viridiplantae; Streptophyta; Magnoliopsida; Poales; Poaceae. The record is from RNAcentral.